UCAUCCACACAAACCUCAUCCUCUCGCUCGUGUCUCACCUGCCUUGCCUCUGUCUCUCGCUCGUGCCGUUGCAUCCUUGCUCCGGCGAGCCCCACCACUAGCCACGCGAGGAGCUGCAACCGGAGGACGGAGGAGCUGCUACCGGACACUCCGGGAGCUGCAACCGGCGGGCAGAGGAGCUACAAGCCGGGAACUAAACCGACGACCGCCGUGCUGGAUUCAGCGCGCCGGGGUGCUGCAACCGGCAGAUUAAAUAGCUACAACUACCUUUUGUUUUUGCUCGGACUGGUGAAAAAUUUCGCUGCGACCAUCGACGCUUGUAGCUCCGGCGAGAGCAACAUAUGCUCGCUGCGGAUAUGCGCGCAGCUCGUGCUCUACCCCAACAGCACGAUGCGUGCAGCUCUGGCGAUGGACAACAUCUUACUGGCGUGCGGCCCUUCCCCAACAGAUGGCUUGUCGCGGAUGAUGAUCUGCACGCUCCACUCAGCUCGCAGGAGAGGGCAACCACCAUCAAAAGAUGCUUCAACCUCGGCGUGGCAGAGCCCAAGUGUAGGUCCGGGAGCUGCAACGAACCAGACAAAUGAUGGAACAUGUGACGACCGUGUUGUGUCGGCGACGGUGCGGUCCACCAUUGCUGGAACCAGCUUCUUUUUUGGCUGGAACUACCAUUAUUUUUUGCUGGAACUUUUUUUGUUGCUACAAUCAACUAGUGUGUUUGCUGCUGAGUUUUUUUUUUGCUGGAACCAACAUGUGUGUUUUCUAGAACUGGCUUUUUUGUUUGCUACAAUCGUCUUUCUUGCUGAGAUUAUUUUUGCUGGAAAUGUCAUCAAUUUUUGGUACCAUCGUAUUCUUGUUUUGCUGGAACCAAUUUAUUUUUCAAGGAUCCAACUUGAUGGUGGUGCGGGUAGUUUUUUUUUUGUGAACUUCGACGGCGAGCAUCGACGGGGAGCACGGCAGUAACUGUCGACGACGAGGGCAAACGGGGUAGGGCAGACACAAGCAACGUGACGUGGUGGCGAGGUGUGGCUGUCAUGUGCUUGUGUUUUUUUUUCAGAUCUCGUGCACGGUGGGGAAGAAAGAGAUGGACGGUGGAAGGAUCAGACGGCUGAUAGUGGCAGAAUCGUACGGCUUGCGGGUGACCUGCCCAAAUUUGAACCACGCGCCGGCGCCUAUCUUCGCCCAUUUACAAAGGCUCAUUCAAUGCAUGAGAUGAGCCGGUCGACAAUACCUGUAAACAACUGACGCAACACUGGCAGGUUGAAGCCGGCUGGUAGCUAUAUACGGAACUACGUGGCGUGGAGCAACCGUCGCUCUAACACGAGGAGGUGAAGGCAACAUCCAACACCAGAUGUACAUGAAAAAAAGCAUCAUGUCGAGGAGUGCUCUCACCGAGCUAGUUAAGUUCUCAUCUAUAUUAGCACAUAUUGUUUAAUUAUAGCCAAAAGCUAUUUUUAAAAACCUUUGUCAUCCGAUCGCAAAUCUGGUGGCUCGUUUCUCUUGAUUAUUUAUUUCAAGGUCGAAUCGAA
Molecule: long non-coding RNA, 1526 nt
Organism: Triticum dicoccoides
Lineage: Eukaryota; Viridiplantae; Streptophyta; Magnoliopsida; Poales; Poaceae
Exons: 2
Source: RefSeq, a predicted model, not a curated record